RNAcentral lists this unclassified non-coding RNA (235 nucleotides) under plant metagenome. Its description in RNAcentral is "partial contains small subunit ribosomal RNA, internal transcribed spacer 1, and 5.8S ribosomal RNA". The record is from RNAcentral.
UUUCCGUAGGUGAACCUGCGGAAGGAUCAUUAAAGUUAUAGUCCCCCGGCCCCUCCGGGCUGGGGUCUUCUAUACCACCCUUUGUUUAUUACGCCUUUGUUGCUUUGGCAGGCCUGCCCUCGGGCUGCUGGCUCCGGCCGGCUCGUGCCUGCCAGAGGACCUAAACUCUGUUUGUAUAUGAAGUCUGAGUACUAUAUAAUAGUUAAAACUUUCAACAACGGAUCUCUUGGUUCUG